This 31-nucleotide non-coding RNA is filed under the name Rattus norvegicus (Norway rat). The record is from RNAcentral. Lineage: Eukaryota; Metazoa; Chordata; Mammalia; Rodentia; Muridae.
UGGAAUCACAGCUAAAAAUUUUAAUGGGGUU